RNAcentral lists this ribosomal RNA (273 nucleotides) under uncultured bacterium. RNAcentral's name for it is "partial small subunit ribosomal RNA". It matches the Rfam family "Bacterial small subunit ribosomal RNA", at positions 26 to 282 of the family's 1533-position model. RNAcentral also lists the same sequence under 1 other name. The record is from RNAcentral.
AGAAUCAACGCUGGCGGCGUGCCUCAGACAUGCAAGUCGAACGCGAAAGUCCCCUUCGGGGGACAAGUAGAGUGGCGCACGGGUGAGUAACACGUAGGUAAUCUACCUUUGGAUGGGGAAUAACAACCGGAAACGGUUGCUAAUACCGCAUAAUGCAGCGGCACCUAAUGGUGACAGUUGUUAAAGCGGGGGAUCGAAAGACCUCGCGUCUAAAGAGGAGCCUGCGGCGGAUUAGCUAGUUGGUAAGGUAAUGGCUUACCAAGGCUACGAUCC